CUCUCGGCAGAGGAAGCGCGCCUGUUUCUGCGAAGUAAAGCGAAACAACAGCCCCUCAAUCCCUCCCCCCAACCCCUCAUCAGCGCGGGCCUUUUGAGAAGGGAUGAAGCCGCUUUCUCUCGCCAGCCUCGACCCUUCCCCAAAAGCGCCCCAGUGAGGCGGUCGGGUAGAGAAGGGAUAAAGGACGAGUCACUUGCCCGUCAGGGGCGGGGAAGGAUUUCGCUUUGGCUGCGAGACCCGCUUCUCAGCCGCGCAGCCUCAACUUCCAAGGAAGUUCGCCGGGAGCAGCCAGGCAGCCGCACCACGAGCGAGGGAUCCCCGCGGGAGAGGGAAAGCGCUCACCCACGCCGUAUUUCUCCUCGCGCUUGGUAUAAAAGUUGUUACGGUCAGAUGCUGCAAGAUUUGAACCAAACCUUGCCCCAAAAGCAUGAAUGCUACUCCCACAGGUGUUCUAGAGCAACCAGGAUACUUCCUGAUCUAUGUGACCAAAAUAAUGCACGUGGAAGGCAACCAAGAGAGGAAAAAACAAUCCUAAUUUGAGAUUUUAAUGAAAAAACAAAGCCUUUACCAUUUUUAAGCAAAUCAACCUUUACAUAAUAUAUGAAUUUCCUGGAUUUAUAAAACAUGCUAAACCAUAAAUGUGUUUAUUUAUUGAAUCUUGUUAUUGUGUGUUUUAGCAACCCAUGUGAAAUCUAGUAAAUAAAAACUAAUGUGUUCAACCAA
Molecule: long non-coding RNA, 723 nt
Organism: Crotalus tigris (Tiger rattlesnake)
Lineage: Eukaryota; Metazoa; Chordata; Lepidosauria; Squamata; Viperidae
Exons: 2
Source: RefSeq, a predicted model, not a curated record